This is a long non-coding RNA of Pipistrellus kuhlii (Kuhl's pipistrelle), 3205 nucleotides long. RefSeq lists it as uncharacterized. The record is from RefSeq and is a predicted model, not a curated record. NCBI's taxonomy places the organism in Eukaryota, Metazoa, Chordata, Mammalia, Chiroptera, Vespertilionidae. The transcript has 3 exons.
CAAUUCCUAGAAGAAAUGGGCUUAGGAAACAAGUUAUAGGAUAAAGGAAGUGCCCUUAGAGCGUGGGAGUGAGGAAGCUAAUGGUAACCUGCCUGAGGCAGGGCAGGGGAGGAGGGAGGGAAAGGUAUGGGGGCAUGCUCCCUGGAAGGAGAGCUGGGUUUGUCAUUUUUAAGCCCGUGGUAAACAAUAAUCAUAAAUGGAAAGACUUGCAGGUAUUGUCAUAGCAGAUCCUAUGGUAGAGCCUUGAACAUGACUCACACCAGUGUUGAAACAGUGCACGGGUGAAUGGAUUAAUUAUCAGGCUACACUAUGACCAGGGCCGAUACCCAGCUGUUGGUGCCUAUAAGGGCCAAGGUUCAUUCCCAUUGGUCAAAACUCCACCCUAUUGGGCCGGCACCCCGACUGUACAUUAAUCAUUAGAGAUAGCCCCCAGUUUGGGAGAACAGGUCUCCACAUUGCAAAUUGGGUUAAAAAGAGAUGUUUCGAACUCAAUUAAUAUGACAUAUUCUUAGGACUGGUUAGAACCUGAUUGGCUGGGGCUCUGGAUAGUCUCAGGGCUGCAAUAAGGUGGAUCUUGGAGAAAGUAUCGGGAUUUAAAGUAGAUCACACAGAAUGGGUGAAUAUAGCUCCUGAGUAAAUCUGGAGGUGAAACCUGAGAGCAGCAAAGGGGUACAAAGACCAGGAGCAAGAGGUGGAUGGGCAGGGGCUCACUGAAGUGGAAGGCAAUGAAGAAGGAACAAGAGGGAGGAAGAUGUGUCAGGAAGUUCAGCUAUAAGGGACAGAAAACCCAAAGCAACAGACGUUGCAGUGAACGAAAGUGCGAUUCUGGAAAUGAGCCGUCCACAGCUGAUAGGGCAGCUCCAGGAGCAUCGCGGUUCCAGACGCCUCUCUUGCUGCCUCACCAUCCUCAACUGCUUCUCCCUCUUGGUCAAAAGUGGCAGCUCUGACUCCAGCCAGCUGGUGGAGGAAGGAGCACGGAGGAAGGUGAGAAGAGAUACUGGGAAACAAUGCAAGAGCAGGGACUCAGACAAACUUUGGCUGUUUUGUCCCAGCUCCCAGCUCCUGGCUCCUUGUUAAGGGUGGAACAGCCUUAAGCAGGAAAAUAUGUGAUCACAACUGCAGGCAACAGCAUCCUGGAUCCAUGAGGUGGAAACUGCCCUCGCAGGGGCUGAGCCCUUAGCAGAGAAAGGGAGAAGCUUAAGCCUGAAAGUGCGUCACCUCACUGCAGGAGCAGGCAGAAUAUGCCAGGGCGCUGCUCCUCAGCUCCUCAGCACAGAACAGAGGGCAGGGGGAGCUCCGAAGGCCGGCUGCCCUGCACACACUGCACUGCAAGCUGAAACGUGUGCCGGGGGAGCCACGGCUCAGGUGAGAGCUCAGAGCUGACAGCACUGGGGAGGGGACUGUAGCCCUGAGGUUGGUUUGGGGGUGUGGGUUUUUCACUCAUAUACGUAUCUUGUAUCAUGGAGUGGACUUCUGUGUGUACUGGCUCCCUAACUUGACCUUGGGGAUUGAGGAAAUGUCACCCACUUCUGUGUCACCAGGGAAUGCAUUCCAGAGCGGACUAAGCCCACUUGGGGGUCAUGGUCAGCUCAUGUGCAUUUGGGCGAAUUGCAGGAGAGCGGCGGAGGGGUCAUGGCAUAAACAAAACCCAGGUCUGCAGCUCUCGGCCCUGACCAGACUGCCUCUCAGGAUCUUCCUCAGGACAGCAGAGCCCUCCUCCGGGGAGGGAUGCCCCUCAGGCCAGAAGGAAAUUCAAAUCCAGACUAAAUGCAUUUAAAAAAAAAUUUUUUUUUAUGAGACAGAAGAGAGGAGGAGGAGGAAAGGCCCUGCAGGCAGCUUUGAGCUUACUGUACAGAGGGCACCAGAAAAAUGUCAUUUGAAGAAUGGGCAGAGGAGACAAAGAGGGUAGUGUGACAGGAAGCCAGGGAGGAAUAAAGCCAGGAAACAGAGUGGGCGGGGAAGAGGGCCACAGAGAGCGGAGGAGGACCUCUGUCAGGAGGAGGUGGGAGAACAAAGGGGGCAGGGAUGGUGCAUCUCAGCGUGAGGGUGGCCAGGGUGGAAGGCGGAAGGCGGAGCUGCUAGAUCAGAACCUGCUCCGUGUUUCUCCCAACGCUGAGUUUCACAGGGGCCUGGAGAGUAGCAGCCCCAGUUGGAGGGCCCGGCCAGCCCUGUCAGACGCACUGUCCUCCUGCCCCUUCUGGUUUCCUUAGCUGGAGCCGGCCUCCACCUGCCACUGGCCGUGGAUGACCCCACCUCCUGCCCCGCACCUGCACACCCAACUGCCAAGCAGCACUUGCCUGAGGGGCAGCCGCACUGGGCGUUGGGAAGAAGGACGUGGAGAGAAGCUGUUUCUGUCCACACUGUUUGAUCCUUUGGGAGCAGGGUAUGUACUGGCAGGGCAACUCUCAGGACGAAGGCAACGGCACUGUAGGAAGGAAUGGGGUGGAGCGGCCAGGCCACGUGGCCAGGCCUAGGCUGACGGCCCAGAGCUCAUUUGUUCACUCUACAAGCGUUUGUCGAAUGAAUGUCUGCUAGAAUAGAGCAAAUCAGACAAAGUCUCUGUCUCUUGGAUUCCAGUUUACAUUCUGUCUGGGGUGAUGGACAAGCGAACGGCAAGUACUUGUUCCGCAGGCGCCGUGGUGUGGUUUGGCUUGCCUGGUCUGGGUGGUCCUCACUGCUCAGCCAGGUUGAGGGGCUUGGGACCAGAUCCUCUCAACUCUGACACAGCAAUACAGAGCAGAAGCACAGUCCAGACUUUGGGGCACCAAUACUAACUUGAUUUUGCACCAACGUUUUAUGCAUUUUAUUUUUCUUCUCGCAUUUCCAAAAUAGUCACUAAUCCUUUCAGGGUAGGAGGGAAGGGAGGCCUCCUCCGGAUGGAGACACAUCGGCCGCCUCUGGGCCUUCUUCCCUCAGCAUCUUCCCCUAAUUCACCCUCCUGAGCCCUGGAGGAGCCUUUAUAACAUGCUGAUCUCAUCGUGUGAUUCUGGCUUUAAAGUUGGUAAUUGGCUGGGAUGCUUUUGACUCUCAAGGAGUAGAAUGCUGCCAGCGAGGAUGUAGGAUGGGGAGCCUGAGAACCUAGUGGCUGGGAGCACAGUGUUUAGCGUCAGCCUGAGUUCAAACUGCACCUCUGGCACGUCUGAGUCACGUGAAAGGUCAAGCCACUCAACUUUUCUUUCAGAUGCAUUUCCUCAUUUGUAUAAUG